AAAGUAGUAAAGUGAAAUUGUCACGUGCAUGGUCCCCUUGCAUUUACAUAUAUACCAACUUGGUAGCUAUAGAAGUGGGAGGAACACAAGUUGGUAUCAAUUUUCACCUCACGUGCAUCAAAAUGGGUCCAAAGUGUGAAUUUGGCCUUUGCCACUAGCAUGGUCACGCACAGUUUGCAUGAGACUUUGAAGUUUUGAACAUAGAAAAA
This 209-nucleotide long non-coding RNA is filed under the name Glycine max (soybean). RNAcentral describes it as "long non-coding RNA (GMAX_LNC001500)". The record is from RNAcentral. Lineage: Eukaryota; Viridiplantae; Streptophyta; Magnoliopsida; Fabales; Fabaceae.